RNA transcript from Tripterygium wilfordii, 1208 nucleotides. It is a transcript of the gene named uracil phosphoribosyltransferase, with no coding region annotated. The transcript is spliced from 13 exons. The record is from RefSeq and is a predicted model, not a curated record. NCBI's taxonomy places the organism in Eukaryota, Viridiplantae, Streptophyta, Magnoliopsida, Celastrales, Celastraceae.
UAAAACCCAUCUUCUCUCCCUGGUUCGCCGAGAUUGGGAUCGGACGCAUGGCUUGCCGCGCUUAUUUCUCCGUCCGAUGUCCGUCCGAUACGCCCCGUUUCAUGCCCGAAUUUCAGCUACAAAACUAUAGGCCGUCUCUUCUCUUACAUAAACAUCUCCUUCCCUGCUCUUCACCUUUGCUUCCCCACAAGAUCUCGUGUUUGAGUAGUAGGCGCCGUACCUGUGUUCCUGUGAGGUCUCACAGGGUGACUGAGGAUAAACCCGUAUCAGAGGACAGAAUGCUUGUGUUUGUGCCUCCACAUCCAUUGAUAAAGCACUGGGUUUCAGUUUUGAGGAACGAACAAACUCCUUGUCCAAUUUUUAGGAAUGCAAUGGCUGAGUUGGGCAGGUUGCUGAUUUAUGAGGCAUCAAGGGAUUGGCUGCCUACUGUCACAGGAGAUAUCCAAUCACCAAUGGGAGUUGCUUCCGUUGAAUUUAUUGAUCCUAGGGAGCCUAUAGCGGUUGUUCCAAUCUUGAGAGCUGGCCUUGCUUUGGCAGAAAAUGCAUCAUCAAUCUUGCCGGCAACAAGAACAUACCAUCUGGGAUUAAGUAGAGAUGAGGAGACUCUUCAGCCGAGUGUAUAUUUGAACAAGUUACCUGAUAAAUUUUUGGAAGAGUCUCGAGUGAUUUUGGUGGAUCCUAUGUUGGCAACAGGUGGCACAAUAGUGGCAGCAGUCGACCUCGUAAAGGAACGUGGGGUCGAUAACAAGCAAAUUAGAGUGAUAUCUGCUGUAGCCGCUCCUCCUGCCCUUCAGAAGCUCAGUGAGAAGUUUCCUGGGCUUCAGGUAUAUACCGGAAUCAUUGAUCCUUCCGUCAAUGACAAAGGGUUCAUCAUUCCUGGACUUGGAGAUGCAGGAGAUCGUAGCUUUGGUACAUAGUCAUCCAACUUGUCCAGCUAAACGGAAAGAUAUGGUCCCCCAACACCUACCCAGUUCUGUAUGAUCACCUCUUGCAAUUUUGAUAUAUUGAGCUCUUCAUCAGUAGUUUUCAAGCAUAUUAUUAUUUAGAUGCCGAAAGGCAGGGAAGUUGGAUUUCCCCCACUACUCCAGCUGCUGCUACUGCCAUCUUCUUCUUUGCCAUUGGUUUUACCAGUUCUGGCUGAAUUACCUGCCUCACCAGGUUUAACUUCCCCACCUUCAACGUCGAUCUUUAUUUCUUUCUUCCCAUCA